GAUACGGCCCAGACUCCUACGGGAGGCAGCAGUGGGGAAUAUUGCACAAUGGGCGCAAGCCUGAUGCAGCGACGCCGCGUGAGGGAUGACGGCCUUCGGGUUGUAAACCUCUUUCAGUAGGGACGAAGCGAAAGUGACGGUACCUACGGAAGAAGGACCGGCCAACUACGUGCCAGCAGCCGCGGUAAUACGUAGGGUCCGAGCGUUGUCCGGAAUUACUGGGCGUAAAGAGCUCGUAGGUGGUUUGUCGCGUUGUUCGUGAAAACUCACAGCUUAACUGUGGGCGUGCGGGCGAUACGGGCAGACUAGAGUACUGCAGGGGAGACUGGAAUUCCUGGUGUAGCGGUGGAAUGCGCAGAUAUCAGGAGGAACACCGGUGGCGAAGGCGGGUCUCUGGGCAGUAACUGACGCUGAGGAGCGAAAGCGUGGGUAGCGAACAGGAUUAGAUACCCUGGUAGUCCACGCCGUAAA
This 471-nucleotide ribosomal RNA is filed under the name Mycobacteroides abscessus. RNAcentral describes it as "bacterial SSU rRNA". It matches the Rfam family "Bacterial small subunit ribosomal RNA", at positions 323 to 806 of the family's 1533-position model. Lineage: Bacteria; Bacillati; Actinomycetota; Actinomycetes; Mycobacteriales; Mycobacteriaceae. The record is from RNAcentral.